CGGGGGGCAGCAGUGGGGAAUAUUGCGCAAUGGGCGAAAGCCUGACGCAGCAACGCCGCGUGAGGGAUGAAUGCCUUCGGGUUGUAAACCUCUUUCAGCAGGGAAGAAGCGAAAGUGACGGUACCUGCAGAAGAAGCACCGGCUAACUACGUGCCAGCAGCCGCGGUAAUACGUAGGGUGCAAGCGUUGUCCGGAUUUAUUGGGCGUAAAGAGCUCGUAGGCGGUUUGUUACGUCGGAUGUGAAAUCCUGGAGCUUAACUCCGGGCCUGCAUUCGAUACGGGCAGACUAGAGUGUUGUAGGGGAGACUGGAACUCCUGGUGUAGCGGUGAAAUGCGCAGAUAUCAGGAAGAACACCGAUGGCGAAGGCAGGUCUCUGGGCAACUACUGACGCUGAGGAGCGAAAGCGUGGGGAGCAAACAGGAUUAGAUACCCCGGU
This 437-nucleotide ribosomal RNA is filed under the name uncultured Actinomycetales bacterium. Its description in RNAcentral is "bacterial SSU rRNA". It matches the Rfam family "Bacterial small subunit ribosomal RNA", at positions 342 to 791 of the family's 1533-position model. Lineage: Bacteria; Bacillati; Actinomycetota; Actinomycetes; Actinomycetales. The record is from RNAcentral.